CCAUCUUGAUCGCUGAAUCCGUGUGGAACGGGGGAACCAGAAUUGUAACAAACAUUUUGUUACUAGGGGUGAAUCCUUCAUGAUGAAGGCAGGGUUACUUCUGUACCCGAACCCGACAGCUAACCUCGUAAGCGUUAAGGAGAGGAUGU
RNAcentral lists this small RNA (149 nucleotides) under Bacillus gobiensis. Its description in RNAcentral is "c-di-AMP sequence". It matches the Rfam family "c-di-AMP riboswitch aptamer (ydaO/yuaA leader)". From Rfam's summary of the family: This family represents a conserved RNA structure found upstream of the ydaO and yuaA genes in Bacillus subtilis and related genes in other bacteria. The ydaO/yuaA element is thought to act as a genetic "off" switch for the ydaO and yuaA genes in its native state. The record is from Rfam by way of RNAcentral. Lineage: Bacteria; Bacillati; Bacillota; Bacilli; Caryophanales; Bacillaceae.